RNAcentral lists this long non-coding RNA (3890 nucleotides) under Pan troglodytes (chimpanzee). RNAcentral describes it as "long non-coding RNA NONPTRT004817". Lineage: Eukaryota; Metazoa; Chordata; Mammalia; Primates; Hominidae. The record is from RNAcentral.
GACCACAGAAGAUUCAGGGCAGCUGCCAGACCAGGGGCUAUCUCUGCCCUGCGCUGCUUCUGCUCAAAAGAGGUUGUCACUACCCUCUGAUCUUCCCUUGAAGAACCCGACUGGGGCUCUUCAGAGGGUGGGGCCCAGGAAGUUGUAGUUAACCCCUUCCCCAGGCAGUCCUUACACAGCCAUCUAGGUAUGCCUGGGAACCUUGCCACCAGGUCGGUGGUUCUCACUGGCUGCCCAUUGGAAUUAUCUGGGGAGCCUUUUGGAAAUGCAGUGCUUACAUUCCAUCUCCCUAGACCAACAGAAACUGCCCUCUGGAGGUGAAUCCCAGGCUUAGAGAUUCUGAUGAUUCUGUGGUCCAGCGAGUGCUGAGAUCUGUCCUGAGCUCUGUGGGGAGGGGCCUGGACUGAUCACUGCUUGGAAAUGAUUUUGCCCUACAGUAGGCCUUCAAGUUGAUCAAAUGCAUGAAUGAGCAAGCUUUUCUUGGAGUUUGUGAUGAAGCCCAGGAACCGGGUGCUUGCAGUCGUCCCAUAAGGCUCCCAGGGACAAGCUAGAGAAUCUGGCUGUCCCUCUGUCUCCAUGGUGCCAGCCCUCUUAGGCUCAGUCCAGAGGGAGAGGAGGCUAGUUAAAUAAGAAACUGAGAGAAAUAUGGAGCAUUAUUGAUUUAUUAGAAAAACUAGUAAAUGGGUUUCCUCUGGUUGGUGGAAGCACGGUUGAGCAGGUGGAGGACAGGACCCAGCUGGCCCCAGGGCCAGUCCCAGAUUGCAUGGUCUGUGCCCAACAGGGUUGCAUUCCUCUGCAGCCACCGCCUCCUCAUUUCCUCCCUGAGCUUGUUUGUCCAAGCCACCAAGCCAUGUGGUCCCGCUGGCUUCAUCCUCCUCUGGAUUCCUGCCCCCCUCCCAUGAAGGGAGGAAGAGGAUUCAGGGUCAGCCUAGGGGACCCUGGUUCCCUCCGAUAGGCAGGAAGGAGGAGGGAUGCAGAGGAGAGGCUGAGCCUUCCACGGGCCUCCUGUUAGGGGUGUUAGUGGAGGCCAGGUUGGGGAGGGAAGCCCAAGGACCCUCCACACCUCCCACAGCCAGAGUCAGUUGAGGCUGGGACAAAGGGGAAGGAGAGAGGGAAGGAGGACCGCCUGACCUCGCCCAGAAGGAGCUUCCUCUAAACUGCCCUAGGGAGGAAGCCUGGUAUGCUGGUGUGGACUGGAGCUGUGUCAACCUAGUUUGGGAAUACUGUCAAAAGACUGUAGAGUAGAAUAAGGAGAGAAAAAAAAAAAAGACCUUGCUAGGGCACUGGGAGAGCUUAGCCCUGGUGUGGCACACACAGGGUCUCCCAAAGCUGGAUGCCUGCAUUUUCAGUCUAGUUGGUCGAAUGUCUUGGAGCCUGGGUGACAGGAGGGAUGUGUGGGGAGCUGGCAACAGAAUGGUCACAUGCAGCUGGCUGCCCUGGACCAGGCCAGGGGACCUGGGGUGGUGAGAUGCUAGCUCUUCCACUGGAGCCCUUCCUUUCUCGGGCCUGUGGAGUUGCUUGCUGGAAAUGCCUCACUUCAGGUGCUGAUUUGGCACACGUGGAAGGGGGAGGGUGGGCCCUUGUCCCUAGGCUCCCUAAAGACUGGCCCAGGGAAACAGUUGAGGGAGAUGUUUGCCACCAUCUGCCCUUCAGCAAGGAACCUGCUCUCUGCCCCAGAGGAGGACAUGCCUGCAAGUGCACGAAAGGCCUACUUUAUUGCUAGGUGAGUGUAGUCACCUCACUGCCUUGGUUUCCCCAGAUACAGAAAGAGGCUGGUGAGUGAUACUCACUAGGUUCCCUGUAUAGGGUCAUAUGUACCAAAGCCAAAUGAAGACCUUGCUCACCAGGGCGGGAACCUGGGGAUAUCAGGCUCCAUCGGAUGACGUCUUCCUUCCUGUGGCUCCUGCCUGCUGCAGUUGGUGUCACCCUGACAUAGUGUCAGGGCCACAGGGUGGAACUGAUUUCUGCCGGCACUGGUCAGCACUCACUCAGGGUUCCUCAGGGGGCCUCAUUCUGGAUGCCUGCCCCUGUGGCUUCUACCUGAACCUCACCCACUUCAUCUCCAUGGAACUAAGGUCCUUCUCACAGGGAAGGUGAUAGAAACUGACUGCAGGCCCUGGGGACUUUUAUGGUUUCCUUAGGGGAAAAUGCCUGCUGCCCUCCGCCCUCCCUCCCCCGACCCGCUUGACUGCUUUCUUGGACCUAACCCUAGUUCGAUACUGGGCCAGAACUGUGUUGCUUUAGGAGUAGAGUGGUGGGGAAAAUAUGGAAUGAGCCUUCUCUUCCUCCAGAAGUAUGACCUGAGCAGCAAGGGGAAGGCCAUUCCUGGGGACAUUGGUUGCAGAGCUUCUGGUGCUCAGGGCUGGAGGGUGGUAGAUAUUUGACCUCUGUACUCAUGUGACCCCCUCCCUGCCAAGACCUGGGGCCAGGACGUGGAGAAGCUGAUCAAGGGGUACCACACCUUCAUGGCUCUGGCCGUGACAUUUGUCCCAGUUGUGCAGGGGUAGCUGUCACAUGGGUGGUGAUACCAAGACAUGGCUGCAUCUGCCACCCCGAGAAAACAGAUGAUCAACUUUACUGUCUGCCCAGCCAUUACCCUCCAAAGUCCCAGCUGCAGACAGGAUGCAAUUGAGCAUUUGGCUUUGGGAUGCUUUACUGCAGGCCUGGAGGCCCCAAAGGCGCCAGAGGAGCUGGGAUCCCCUGUCCCUGGAGCGGAGCCAGCGCGGGCGAGGGCAUGGAGGGGGCGUCGGCCCAGGACACGCGGGCGAAGGCAGCUUUUGCAGUGCAGCGUGGGGCCCGGGGGCCCGGCCCGCGACUCGACUCAUCUCGAUUCGACCGGCGGGCGGCGGCGAGAGGAGGCCAAGGCCUGGGCUGCCCCGGUCUCUGCGCGUCCCGACUCCGCCGCGCCCGCCAGCCCCACCCGCUACUUCUUUUUGGGGAAGAAGCUGAAUCUCUUCUCCUUCUUGCCGAGGCUGGCGUCGGGGCCGGAGAGGGAAGGCAGGGGCAGGCUCUGCGCCUUGAUGCGGAUGCUCUGGGACUCGUUGAUGGCGGUGCUCACGCCCUGCAGCCAGGACAGCAUCUCCUCCUGUGGGGCGGAGGGUCACGGUGGAGUCUGGAGGUCCACAGCCCCCCACCUCCCGGGCCAGGCAACAAUGGUGGGGGCUCUUGGGACUGCCCCUUCUGAGGGGGCCUCCAGGGCAAGCGGCCUGGGGUCCUCCACCUACCCCUUUCUUAGCCAGGUCUGGGCUAGGCUGCCGGCGCUUACCUCAUCCUUGCCAUGGAAGAGCCACUCGCUGCCAUUACUCAGCCUAGGAGGACAAAGGGUUUCCUGUCAUGGAGACACCUCUGGAGGGGGCGCUGGGCAGAGGGCUGGCUCUGAUCCCACAAUACCCUGAGCCGAACAUCCAGACCCCUCUCAGGCAGCCCAGCACUUUCUGAGAGGUCAAAGUCUGGACCAUCAGCCUCUUUGAUUUGAAAAACCCGUGAGGAGCAGCUCAGGCCUGGCGCUGGUCCCCUACAGAGGGCCUCUGCCCUGCCACUAAUGCCAAAUCAAGCCAUCAACCCGAGCUUUCAAAGGCCAGGAAGGCCUCACCUCAGCUUAAAGACGUGCUUCUUCUUCUUGUAGUUGGCAGCAAUCUCACAGAUGGCAUGUCUCAGGGCCAGGGGUUCCUCCCCAUGGUAGGGCAUCCCCAGGGCCAGGUUCUUGGCAUCCUUGUAGAAGGUUAGCUCACUGUUCCUGAGCACACAGUACAGGUUGUUCCAGGACCUGCAAAGAUGCAGACAGGCAGGUCACCCACAUCCUGAUAUGGUAUCUCUAGAGUCAAUUCCUAUAGCUUCACCAUUAAAAAAAAAUUACACCAUGUUGGUUCUGAUACAUAGUAACAUGUUUU